UGCGCAAUCUUUGAAUGAGUGCUGUGUGA
Molecule: non-coding RNA, 29 nt
Filed under: Rattus norvegicus (Norway rat)
Lineage: Eukaryota; Metazoa; Chordata; Mammalia; Rodentia; Muridae
Source: RNAcentral